ACCAGCUGACGAGUCCUAAAUAGAACGAAAUGCGCAUCCUGGAU
RNAcentral lists this non-coding RNA (44 nucleotides) under Trichobilharzia regenti. Lineage: Eukaryota; Metazoa; Platyhelminthes; Trematoda; Strigeidida; Schistosomatidae. The record is from RNAcentral.